CUUCGACCAACCUGUAAGCUCACAACAGCUGCUCGUCAUGUCAUUUCCACCAAACAGUUACCAGAAGAAGAAAGUAAAAGAGUUUCAAAUGAGGGGGAGGAAGCCUCGUACUUUUCCACCGUUCUCCAACUAGCCGGAGAGGCUCUGGAGCCUGAGCUUUGUGUCGUCAUGGUGAGCACCGUGGUGAUUCCCAGACCCACUCUGGCCGGCGCGGCGUCCAUGUUGAUCCAGAAGGACACCCAGGACAGGAUGACGGUGAGCAGGCUCGCACAAACUGGGGGAGCGUCAGACCAUCGGCCACCUGCACCGCUCCCACAUCCAGCCAUUCAAAAAUAAGGUCGUUCAUGGUGUAGCCAACUAGGAAACACAGAGAAGCUGCACAGUGAGCAAUAAGUUCACUGACCAAAUCUACACACAAUUUCUGGUUUCGUCUGCCAUGAAGGAUGAACUCACAGCUCUCCAG
Molecule: long non-coding RNA, 463 nt
Organism: Gambusia affinis (western mosquitofish)
Lineage: Eukaryota; Metazoa; Chordata; Actinopteri; Cyprinodontiformes; Poeciliidae
Exons: 3
Source: RefSeq, a predicted model, not a curated record